GACGAACGCUGGCGGCGUGCUUAAUACAUGCAAGUCGAGCGAGGCCUUGGAAUUGGAGUCCUUCGGGAUGAAGAGUCCUUGGCCUAGCGGCGGACGGGUGAGUAACGCGUGGGCAACCUACCCCAAAGUCCGGGAUAACAGUGGGAAACCGCUGCUAAUACCGGAUGACUUUACCUGAGGGCAUCCUUGGGUAAAGAAAGGUUACGCUUUGGGAUGGGCCCGCGUCCCAUUAGCUAGUUGGUGAGGUAACGGCUCACCAAGGCGACGAUGGGUAGCCGGCCUGAGAGGGUGAACGGCCACACUGGGACUGAGACACGGCCCAGACUCCUACGGGAGGCAGCAGUAGGGAAUAUUGCGCAAUGGGCGGAAGCCUGACGCAGCGACGCCGCGUGAGCGAAGAAGGCCUUCGGGUCGUAAAGCUCUGUCCUUGGGGAAGAAGGCGAAAGCUUGACGGUACCUGAGGAAUAAGCCCCGGCUAACUAACGUG
Molecule: ribosomal RNA, 487 nt
Filed under: uncultured bacterium
Lineage: Bacteria
Description: bacterial SSU rRNA
Rfam family: Bacterial small subunit ribosomal RNA
Source: RNAcentral